Molecule: ribosomal RNA, 198 nt
Filed under: uncultured bacterium
Lineage: Bacteria
Description: partial 16S ribosomal RNA
Rfam family: Bacterial small subunit ribosomal RNA
Source: RNAcentral
ACGCUCGACACCUACGGGAGACAGCAGUGGGGGAUAUUGCACAAUGGGGGAAACCCUGAUGCAGCAACGCCGCGUGAGGGAAGACGGUUUUCGGAUUGUAAACCUCUGUCAUCGGUGACGAUAAUGACGGUAGCCGAUGAGGAAGCUCCGGCUAACUACGUGCCAGCAGCCACGGUAAUCUGAGCGGGCUGGCAAGGC